UGCCCUAUGGCGCAAUUGGCAGCGCGUCAGACUGUUACAUGGUUUAGAACCGUAAUGGCAUCUGGAGGCUCUGAGUUCGACCCUCAGUGGGGCAG
This is a non-coding RNA of Truncatella angustata, 95 nucleotides long. NCBI's taxonomy places the organism in Eukaryota, Fungi, Ascomycota, Sordariomycetes, Amphisphaeriales, Sporocadaceae. The record is from the annotation of a RefSeq genome assembly.